AAAUGAAACAAGAAUGUAAAAUGAAUUCAAGAUAUGAUAAAAUCAGCUCCAUUUGUCAACAAAACAGAAAGCUUUACAUACAGCUCUUCCAAGCAAUUCAGCUCUCUCUUUCGCUUCCAACAACCGUUUCUGAUUCCUCAUAGAGUACUU
Long non-coding RNA from Hibiscus syriacus, 150 nucleotides. RefSeq lists it as uncharacterized. The record is from RefSeq and is a predicted model, not a curated record. Lineage: Eukaryota; Viridiplantae; Streptophyta; Magnoliopsida; Malvales; Malvaceae. The transcript has 3 exons.